AAAAUAAAUAAAUAAAUAAAGCAAAAGACAAAAAGUACGAUAAUUCAAUUCAGAAACAGAGUCCAAAUAUGGCCAUACGACUUUUUUCCAAACCGAUCAAUAUGAUAAUUUAAGCAAGAAAAUGCUUUCUAAGCACAAUCAAACAAUGCAAUAUAGAAACGUAAGGCUCAUCUCUCCUUAGAACACAUCAAACACAUUACACCAUGGCGAUAACAUUGACAUAUUGGUUCAGCAAUAAUUUGAUAUUCAAAUUACUACAUAAAUACUUUGAAAAAAAAAUGAAAAGUAUAACAACAAACGGGUACUUCCCUAUUGCCAUCCAAAUUGACAGUUAUGAACUCAUUUCACAAAGCAGCUUCUAUCUGCUUACCUUCAGUUUUCAGGUUGAAAGGGUAAAAAUAAAUAUCUCUUUGAUGAAGUUAAAGUUGGUCAUUCUUUUAGUUGCUACUUAAAACACUAAUCUACCAGCAAAGUAAUAUUAAGGAUAGUAUUGAAUCACCCAAAACAAAAUUAGAAACUAAAUGUAGCCAUUAAUUUGCACAUAAAAUACAACCCUAUAGGCAAAACAUUGACUCUCGCUCAAUUCAUCACGAAUGAAGCUAAGUGGGUUAUCAAAUUAGCAUGGAGCUGCUGAAGAAAAAUCAGAAGAGAGAGAAAUCACUAAACGUGUGAGAGAGUAGA
Molecule: unclassified non-coding RNA, 681 nt
Filed under: Hevea brasiliensis (rubber tree)
Lineage: Eukaryota; Viridiplantae; Streptophyta; Magnoliopsida; Malpighiales; Euphorbiaceae
Source: RNAcentral